This 686-nucleotide ribosomal RNA is filed under the name uncultured Staphylococcus sp. Its description in RNAcentral is "bacterial SSU rRNA". It matches the Rfam family "Bacterial small subunit ribosomal RNA", at positions 62 to 730 of the family's 1533-position model. The record is from RNAcentral. Lineage: Bacteria; Bacillati; Bacillota; Bacilli; Caryophanales; Staphylococcaceae.
UCGAGCGAACAGACGAGGAGCUUGCUCCUCUGACGUUAGCGGCGGACGGGUGAGUAACACGUGGAUAACCUACCUAUAAGACUGGGAUAACUUCGGGAAACCGGAGCUAAUACCGGAUAAUAUAUUGAACCGCAUGGUUCAAUAGUGAAAGACGGUUUUGCUGUCACUUAUAGAUGGAUCCGCGCCGCAUUAGCUAGUUGGUAAGGUAACGGCUUACCAAGGCAACGAUGCGUAGCCGACCUGAGAGGGUGAUCGGCCACACUGGAACUGAGACACGGUCCAGACUCCUACGGGAGGCAGCAGUAGGGAAUCUUCCGCAAUGGGCGAAAGCCUGACGGAGCAACGCCGCGUGAGUGAUGAAGGUCUUCGGAUCGUAAAACUCUGUUAUUAGGGAAGAACAAAUGUGUAAGUAACUAUGCACGUCUUGACGGUACCUAAUCAGAAAGCCACGGCUAACUACGUGCCAGCAGCCGCGGUAAUACGUAGGUGGCAAGCGUUAUCCGGAAUUAUUGGGCGUAAAGCGCGCGUAGGCGGUUUUUUAAGUCUGAUGUGAAAGCCCACGGCUCAGCCGUGGAGGGUCAUUGGAAACUGGAAAACUUGAGUGCAGAAGAGGAAAGUGGAAUUCCAUGUGUAGCGGUGAAAUGCGCAGAGAUAUGGAGGAACACCAGUGGCGAAGGCGACUUUCU